CCCUUAGAUGUUCUGGGCCGCACGCGCGCUACACUGAUGCAUUCAACGAGCCUAUCCUUGACCGACAGGUCCGGGUAAUCUUUGAAUCUGCAUCGUGACGGGGAUAGAUUAUUGCAAUUAUUAAUCUUCAACGAGGAAUGCCUAGUAGGCGCAAGUCAUCAGCUUGCGUCGAUUACGUCCCUGCCCUUUGUACACACCGCCCGUCGCUCCUACCGAUGGGUGAUCCGGUGAAUGAUUCGGACUCGGUUGCCUCUAGCCACUAGUGGCGCUCGAGAAAGUUUUGUGAACCUUAUCACUUGGAGGAAGGAGAAGUCGUAACA
RNAcentral lists this ribosomal RNA (320 nucleotides) under uncultured eukaryote. Its description in RNAcentral is "partial 18S ribosomal RNA". It matches the Rfam family "Eukaryotic small subunit ribosomal RNA", at positions 1470 to 1796 of the family's 1831-position model. The record is from RNAcentral.